AACGAACGCUGGCGGCAGGCUUAACACAUGCAAGUCGAACGCCCCGCAAGGGGAGUGGCGGACGGGUGAGUAACGCGUGGGAACGUGCCUCGAGGUUCGGGAAUAACCGAGGGAAACUUCGGCUAAUACCGGAUGAGCCCGAAAGGGGAAAGAUUCAUCGCCUUGAGAGCGGCCCGCGUUGGAUUAGCUAGUUGGUGGGUAACGGCCUACCAAGGCUUCGAUCCAUAGCUGGUCUGAGAGGACGACCAGCCACACUGGGACUGAGACACGGCCCAGACUCCUACGGGAGGCAGCAGUGGGGAAUCUUGGACAAUGGGGGCAACCCUGAUCCAGCCAUGCCGCGUGGGUGAUGAAGGUCUUCGGAUUGUAAAACCCUUUUGGCGGGACGAUAAUGACGGUACCCGCAGAAGAAGCUCCGGCUAA
Molecule: ribosomal RNA, 423 nt
Filed under: uncultured bacterium
Lineage: Bacteria
Description: bacterial SSU rRNA
Rfam family: Bacterial small subunit ribosomal RNA
Source: RNAcentral